Molecule: ribosomal RNA, 429 nt
Filed under: Gemmatimonadota bacterium
Lineage: Bacteria; Pseudomonadati; Gemmatimonadota
Description: Gemmatimonadetes bacterium partial 16S ribosomal RNA
Rfam family: Bacterial small subunit ribosomal RNA
Source: RNAcentral
UAGGGAAUCUUUGGCAAUGGACGAAAGUCUGACCGAGCAACGCCGCGUGAGUGAAGAAGGUUUUCGGAUCGUAAAACUCUGUUGUUUGAGAAGAACAAGGACGUUAGUAACUGAACGUCCCCUGACGGUAUCUAACCAGAAAGCCACGGCUAACUACGUGCCAGCAGCCGCGGUAAUACGUAGGUGGCAAGCGUUGUCCGGAUUUAUUGGGCGUAAAGCGAGCGCAGGCGGUUUCUUAAGUCUGAUGUGAAAGCCCUCGGCUCAACCGGGGAGGGUCAUUGGAAACUGGGAGACUUGAGUGCAGAAGAGGAGAGUGGAAUUCCAUGUGUAGCGUUGAAAUGCGUAGAUAUAUGGAGGAACACCAGUGGCGAAGGCGGCUCUCUGGUCUGUAACUGACGCUGAGGCUCGAAAGCGUGGGGAGCAAACAGG